GACGAACGCUGGCGGCGUGCUUAACAUAUGCAAGUCGAGCGGAAAGGCCCUGCUUUUGUGGGGUGCUCGAGUGGCGAACGGGUGAGUAACACGUGAGUAAACUGCCCUUGACUUUGGGAUAACUUCAGGAAACUGGGGCUAAUACCGGAUAGGAGCUCCUGCUGCAUGGUGGGGGUUGGAAAGUUUCGGCGGUUGGGGAUGGACUCGCGGCUUAUCAGCUUGUUGGGGGGGUAGUGGCUUACCAAGGCUUUGACGGGUAGCCGGCCUGAGAGGGUGACCGGCCACAUUGGGACUGAGGUACGGCCCAGACUCCUACGGGAGGCAGCAGUGGGGAAUAUUGCACAAUGGGCGGAAGCCUGAUGCAGCAACGCCGCGUGCGGGAUGACGGCCUUCGGGUUGUAAACCGCUUUCGUCUGUGACGAAGCGUGAGUGACGGUAAUGGGUAAAGAAGCACCGGCUAACUACGUG
RNAcentral lists this ribosomal RNA (468 nucleotides) under uncultured bacterium. RNAcentral's name for it is "partial 16S ribosomal RNA". It matches the Rfam family "Bacterial small subunit ribosomal RNA", at positions 28 to 507 of the family's 1533-position model. The record is from RNAcentral.